This 788-nucleotide ribosomal RNA is filed under the name uncultured archaeon. Its description in RNAcentral is "bacterial SSU rRNA". It matches the Rfam family "Archaeal small subunit ribosomal RNA", at positions 85 to 876 of the family's 1478-position model. The record is from RNAcentral.
ACGGCUCAGUAACACGUAGUCAACAUAACCAAAGGACGUGGAUAAACUCGGGAAACUGAGGCUAAACCGCGAUAGAUCAAGAUACCUGGAAUGGUUUUUGAUCAAAAUCUAUAUGGCCUCUGGAUUGGACUGCGGCCGAUCAGGCUGUUGGUGAGGUAAUGGCCCACCAAACCUGAAACCGGUACGGGCUCUGAGAGGAGAAGCCCGGAGAUGGGCACUGAGACAAGGGCCCAGGCCCUAUGGGGCGCAGCAGGCGCGAAACCUUUGCAAUAGGCGAAAGCCUGACAAGGUUACUCUGAGUGAUCUCCGCUAAGGAAAUCUUUUGACACCUCUAAAAAUGGUGUAGAAUAAGGGGUGGGCAAGCCUGGUGUCAGCCGCCGCGGUAAUACCAGCACCCCGAGUGGUCGGGACGAUUAUUGGGCCUAAAGCAUCCGUAGCCGGUUCUUUAAGUCCUCCGUUAAAUCCACCUGCUUAACAGAUGGGCUGCGGAGGAUACUAUAGAGCUAGGAGGCGGGAGAGGCAAGCGGUACUCAGUGGGUAGGGGUAAAAUCCGUUGAUCCAUUGAAGACCACCAGUGGCGAAGGCGGCUUGCCAGAACGCGCUCGACGGUGAGGGAUGAAAGCUGGGGGAGCAAACCGGAUUAGAUACCCGGGUAGUCCCAGCUGUAAACGAUGCAGACUCGGUGAUGAACAGGCUUCGUGCCUGUUCAGUGCCGCAGGGAAGCCGUUAAGUCUGCCGCCUGGGGAGUACGGUCGCAAGACUGAAACUUAAAGGAAUUGGCGGGGGAG